RNAcentral lists this non-coding RNA (96 nucleotides) under human gut metagenome. RNAcentral's name for it is "SAM riboswitch (S box leader)". It matches the Rfam family "SAM riboswitch aptamer (S box leader)". Rfam says of the family: The SAM riboswitch is found upstream of a number of genes which code for proteins involved in methionine or cysteine biosynthesis in Gram-positive bacteria. The record is from RNAcentral.
UCUUAUCAAGAGUGGUGGAGGGACUGGCCCAAUGAAACCCAGCAACCUGUAUAAACAAGGUGCUAAAUCCAGCGGUGUAAAUACCGAGAGAUGAGG